RNAcentral lists this ribosomal RNA (763 nucleotides) under uncultured Prevotella sp. RNAcentral describes it as "bacterial SSU rRNA". It matches the Rfam family "Bacterial small subunit ribosomal RNA", at positions 28 to 776 of the family's 1533-position model. The record is from RNAcentral. Lineage: Bacteria; Pseudomonadati; Bacteroidota; Bacteroidia; Bacteroidales; Prevotellaceae.
AGUAACCGGUGGCGCCAGGCUUUAACACCUCAAGUAGAGGGGAAACGGCAUGUGGUGCUAGCACGGAAAUGGACGUCGACCGGGCGCACGGAUGAGUAACGAGUAUCCAACCUUCCCGUUACUGCGGGAUAACCUACCGAAAGGCAGACUAAUACCGCAUGUUCUUCGAUGACGGGCAUCAGAUUCAAAGCAGAGAUCAGUCGGUAACGGAGGGGGAUGCGUCUGAUUAGCUGGUUGGCGGGGCGACGGCCCACCAAGGAGACGAUCAGUAGGGGUUCUGAGAGGAAGGUCCCCCACAUCGAACUGAGACACGGUCCAAACUCCUACGGGAGGCAGCAGUGAGGAAUAUUGGUCAAUGGGCGGAAGCCUGAACCAGCCAAGUAGCGUGCAGGAUGACGGCCCUACGGGUUGUAAACUGCUUUUAUGCGGGGAUAAAGUGAGGGACGCGUCCCUUUUUGCAGGUACCGCAUGAAUAAGGACCGGCUAAUUCCGUGCCAGCAGCCGCGGUAAUACGGAAGGUCCGGGCGUUAUCCGGAUUUAUUGGGUUUAAAGGGAGCGUAGGCCGGGGAUUAAGUGUGUUGUGAAAUGUAGGCGCCCAACGUCUGACUUGCAGCGCAUACUGGUUCCCUUGAGUACGCGCAACGCCGGCGGAAUUCGUCGUGUAGCGGUGAAAUGCUUAGAUAUGACGAAGAACCCCGAUUGCGAAGGCAGCCGGCGGGAGCGCAACUGACGCUGAAGCUCGAAGGUGCGGGUAUCGAACAGG